CAGAUUUGGAUCCGAUGACUGACUCAAUUUAUGUAGGAUAUCUACUAUUCCCAUGUCUCGUAGUUUAUCUUGGCGUUCUUGUGAGCCUUCCUCUUCAUUCCAUAUGAGAUUAGAUAUACAGAACAUGGCAGCAAGCUGAAGUUUAGCAUUUGAAUGACUCAUAUAGUACUUGAUUUUCUGAAGAAUGUCAUCAUUGGUCAUAAUCAGUUCUUUUGCUGUUGUCCCAUCUGCUAUAUUGGCAAGUAUACAUAACGUCUGCUCUUUGACUUCUAUAUUGUGCUCCCCUU
Molecule: long non-coding RNA, 287 nt
Filed under: Gallus gallus (chicken)
Lineage: Eukaryota; Metazoa; Chordata; Aves; Galliformes; Phasianidae
Source: RNAcentral